AAUGAUGUGCCUGAACAAUAGGACUAUCGUGAUAGGAUAAAACAUGUAGUAUCCACUACCUUCAUUA
This 67-nucleotide transfer RNA is filed under the name Nitiditermes sp. RNAcentral describes it as "tRNA-Ile". Lineage: Eukaryota; Metazoa; Arthropoda; Insecta; Blattodea; Termitidae. The record is from RNAcentral.